GUUUGGUUCGUUUACAACAAUGCUUAUAGAUGCAGUAGGAUUCUGAGUGAAUGCUUCUGAGAGAUUCCCAAGAAUUAAAAGGAUGUACAGUGUGUUUAAAAAUAGGCACAUAGAUGAAGGGGGAGUAGUUCUUGUGCUGAUGCUAUGGCUAAUAUAGCAGUGAACUUGCCAUUGGAUUGUCAUCGUUUUGAGGUCUCAUCUUGGGGUCUUCUUAUUUUGUUAUUUCAUGAUCUUUGUGGAGUGGUAUGUCCUAGAAAUGCUUUAGUGUAGUUUAAGGGAAUUUAGUCUGUCUUGCUUAUUAGUUACUCACCAUCUUUGUGUUCUGGCCUAUGCCUGAUUGUUUCAG
RNAcentral lists this unclassified non-coding RNA (346 nucleotides) under Hevea brasiliensis (rubber tree). The record is from RNAcentral. Lineage: Eukaryota; Viridiplantae; Streptophyta; Magnoliopsida; Malpighiales; Euphorbiaceae.